Molecule: ribosomal RNA, 909 nt
Filed under: Acinetobacter sp.
Lineage: Bacteria; Pseudomonadati; Pseudomonadota; Gammaproteobacteria; Moraxellales; Moraxellaceae
Description: partial 16S ribosomal RNA
Rfam family: Bacterial small subunit ribosomal RNA
Source: RNAcentral
CUUCGGUGANUGACCUAGCGGCGGANGGGUGAGUAAUACUUAGGAAUCUGCCUAUUAAUGGGGGACAACAUCUCGAAAGGGAUGCUAAUACCGCAUACGCCCUACGGGGGAAAGCAGGGGAUCACUUGUGACCUUGCGUUAAUAGAUGAGCCUAAGUCGGAUUAGCUAGUUGGUGGGGUAAAGGCCUACCAAGGCGACGAUCUGUAGCGGGUCUGAGAGGAUGAUCCGCCACACUGGGACUGAGACACGGCCCAGACUCCUACGGGAGGCAGCAGUGGGGAAUAUUGGACAAUGGGGGGAACCCUGAUCCAGCCAUGCCGCGUGUGUGAAGAAGGCCUUAUGGUUGUAAAGCACUUUAAGCGAGGAGGAGGCUCUCUUGGUUAAUACCUNNNAUGAGUGGACGUUACUCGCAGAAUAAGCACCGGCUAACUCUGUGCCAGCAGCCGCGGUAAUACAGAGGGUGCGAGCGUUAAUCGGAUUUACUGGGCGUAAAGCGUGCNUAGGCGGCUUUUUAAGUCGGAUGUGAAAUCCCCGAGCUUAGAGCUUGGGAAUUGCAUUCGAUACUGGGAAGCUNGAGUAUGGGAGAGGAUGGUAGAAUUCCAGGUGNAGCGGUGAAAUGCGUAGAGAUCUGGAGGAAUACCGAAUGCGCGANGGCAUNCNNUCUGGCCUANUACNGACGCUGNNGUACGAAANCAUGGGAGUUGUAGCAANCAGGAAGAUACCCUGGUAGUCNAUGCCGUAAGANGANGUCUUACNAGCCGUUGGGGCCUUUGAGGCUUUAGUGNNNCAGCUNACGCGAUAAGUAGACCGNCUGGGGAGUACGGNCGCAAGNNNNAANCUNAAAUGAAUUGACGGGGNNCCNNACAAGCGGUGGANCAUGUGGUUNAANUCNAUGCNACGCGAANAACC